CUUCGGGUUGUAAACCGCUUUCGCCUGUGACGAAGCGUGAGUGACGGUAAUGGGUAAAGAAGCACCGGCUAACUACGUGCCAGCAGCCGCGGUAAUACGUAGGGUCCGAGCGUUGUCCGGAAUUACUGGGCGUAAAGAGCUCGUAGGUGGUUUGUCGCGUUGUUCGUGAAAACUCACAGCUCAACUGUGGGCGUGCGGGCGAUACGGGCAGACUAGAGUACUGCAGGGGAGACUGGAAUUCCUGGUGUAGCGGUGGAAUGCGCAGAUAUCAGGAGGAACACCGGUGGCGAAGGCGGGUCUCUGGGCAGUAACUGACGCUGAGGAGCGAAAGCGUGGGGAGCGAACAGGAUUAGAUACCCUGGUAGUCCACGCCGUAAACGAUGGUAACUAGGUGUGUGCGACACAAAGUGCGCGCCCAAGCGAAAGCGAUAAGUUACCCACCUGGGGAGUACGCUGGCAACAGUGAAACUCAAAGGAAUUGACGGGGGCCCGCACAAGCGGUGGAGCAUGUGGUUUAAUUCGAUGAUACGCGAGGAACCUUACCAGGGCUUAAAUGCAUAAUGACAGGGGUAGAGAUACCCUUUUCUUCGGACAUUUUGCAAGGUGCUGCAUGGUUGUCGUCAGCUCGUGCCGUGAGGUGUCAGGUUAAGUCCUAUAACGAGCGCAACCCCUGCCGUUAGUUGCCAGCAUGUAAAGAUGGGGACUCUAACGGGACUGCCGGUGCAAACCGCGAGGAAGGUGGGGACGACGUCAAAUCAUCACGGCCCUUACGUCCUGGGCCACACACGUGCUACAAUGGCCGGUACAGCGGGAAGCCACCCCGUAAGGGGGCGCGGAUCCACAAAACCGGUCACAGUUCGGAUCGGGGUCUGCAACCCGACCCCGUGAAGCUGGAAUCGCUAGUAAUCGGAUAUCAGCCAUGAUCCGGUGAAUACGUUCCCGGGCCUU
This 948-nucleotide ribosomal RNA is filed under the name uncultured alveolate. RNAcentral's name for it is "partial Bacterial small subunit ribosomal RNA". It matches the Rfam family "Bacterial small subunit ribosomal RNA", at positions 416 to 1382 of the family's 1533-position model. The record is from RNAcentral.